CAAAAAUUGAAUUCACAUUCACGCCUCCGUCGUUAACCAUCUAUAAUUGAAUUCACAUUCAUGCCUCUGCCGCAAAAUCUCCCCUCUGCCUCCCGUUAAUGCUACUCUCCGCCCCUCGCCGCACCUCAUUGUCGCCGCUACAAGCAACGAGAAGCAUAAAUGGUGUCAAGUGCAGCGGUGCCGUUUUGGAGGGCAACAGGUUUGUGAAUCCCUGGCUUCUCUUCCAAUAGCACCAGAGAAUUGAAUCUGCCUCUUAUUCACAGGGUAACAUUCAAAUUAUUUUACCAGUGUUGGUCCCCUAGGUUUUUAUGGUUAAAAAGGAACAAUGCUAAGCAUAAUGGGAUUGAGAUGAAUGCCUAUAGGGUUAUUUAAAGAAUAGAAUUUUUGGUUUCAAAUUUGAUGGGGGCUAAGUUUGUCAAUGAAUUAAACAACGUUGUAAGGAAAUCAAAGUUGAACGCAGGUAGUCUAAUGGAUGAAUCCAAUUGCAGUUGAACUCAGAUGGGUCUUUAAAAAGUGAUAAACAGGAACUUUAAGGGUAUGUUUUAUGGAGUUUCCAUGACUUCUAUAAUGAUGGACAAUAGCAGUACAAUGGAUUUCUUUAAAAUACCCUGUAAUUAUUUCUAAAGUUCCCCCAACAGUGAAUGAACAAUUUGAUUUGGCUUGCUAAUCAUAUGGCCCUUUUUGUUUUAGAAGCUUUUCUAAUUUUUUAAUUGGUGUCUUUGGGGUUCUAUUAUGAAGAAAGCUUGAUGGAAAAAUAACUAAGGAAAGAAAAUCUAAAAGUCUUCUCCAUGAGCAUAUUUGACUGAAGAAGGGGUUUAUGAUAUUUCCUCAUGUCGAUUAAUUACCAUGUGUCAAAUGUACUCGUCUAGUAAUUAUUGAUCUAUGAUAAGAAUUGGUUGGACUAAUGCUUAUUUCAUAGAUGUGGGUUUUGAUUAUCCUGAUUUAGGAACCAAUAUGGAAGUCUUUGGGAGUUUCGGCGUCAAUAUUAAAGAUUUGAACUUUGGAGAAAUUUUCUCCUCCACGUUGUGAUCAGAAUAAAUUUUCUCUAAUUUUUUAUUCCUUGCAUCUUUGUUUCUGCCAUAUUUCCCUGUUCAGCAUCGUUUUGUGGAUUAAUGUUUCAUGUUGCUGUUUGUAGUUUUAUUAAGAGAAGGUGAUUGCACCUCUUUUGGUGUUGAUGACUCUCUGCCCCUGUUGCUGCAUCUAUUUUUUAGUUUCAUAAGAAUUGCUCAAUUAAUUGGUGUUGAUUUCACUUUUUGAACAAGCAUUGCUUCACAUUUCUUUUUUUUUUUUUUUUGGUUGCAUUUUACUAUUCUGCCUGGUUUUUCCUGCUCAUCUGUGACUUUUUAUGAGUGUAUAAUACCUUCUCUUUUAUAUUUAUUUAUUUUGGUACUUGGGCUUGCAUCUCAAAAUUUAAGGCAAACGAGUGGGAAGGAUAUGAUCAUGGAUGUUACAAAGAGUAGAGUUGCUGUUGCAGUUAAUGGUUCUAAGGGAAUUUCAAGAACUGCUUGAACGUUGCAUGAGCUGUUGCAUGGGAACGUGCAUUACCUGGAUUGCUUUUCUGUUUUGUAUGCUGGCCAUUUUUCUUCUUUUUUGCAUAAUUGCUACAUUUGUUAUUCACUUGUAGGACUUAAGUCGUUAUUUCCUUUAUGUUAAUUUCUGUUGCAUUAUGUACGUGAGUUUCGACAAUCAGUUAAAGCUAGG
RNAcentral lists this long non-coding RNA (1701 nucleotides) under Olea europaea subsp. europaea. The record is from RNAcentral. Lineage: Eukaryota; Viridiplantae; Streptophyta; Magnoliopsida; Lamiales; Oleaceae.